UACGUAGGCAGCGAGCGUUUGUUCGGAGUUACUGGGCGUAAAGAGUGCGUAGGCGGUUUUCUAAGUUUGGUGUGAAAUCUCCCGGCUUAACUGGGAGGGUGCGCCGAAAACUGGAAGGCUUGAGUAUGGGAGAGGUAAGCGGAAUUCCUGGUGUAGCGGUGAAAUGCGCAGAUAUCAGGAGGAACACCGGUGGCGAAGGCGGUUCUCUGGGCAUGUCCUGACGCUGAGGAGCGAAAGUGUGGGGAGCGAACAGG
RNAcentral lists this ribosomal RNA (254 nucleotides) under uncultured bacterium. RNAcentral describes it as "partial 16S ribosomal RNA". It matches the Rfam family "Bacterial small subunit ribosomal RNA", at positions 524 to 776 of the family's 1533-position model. The record is from RNAcentral.